GAUGAACGCUAGCGGCAGGCUUAACACAUGCAAGUCGAGGGGCAGCGCGAUGUAGCAAUACAUUGGCGGCGACCGGCGCACGGGUGCGUAACACGUAUGGAACUUACCCUUUACUGGGAGAUAGCCCGGAGAAAUCCGGAUUAAUAUCCCAUAAUAAACGAAGUGGCAUCACUUUGUUUUGAAAGCUCCGGCGGUAAAGGAUGGCCAUGCGCACGAUUAGCUAGUAGGUGAGGUAACGGCUCACCUAGGCUACGAUCGUUAGGGGGCCUGAGAGGGUUAUCCCCCACACUGGUACUGAGACACGGACCAGACUCCUACGGGAGGCAGCAGUGAGGAAUAUUGCGCAAUGGAGGCAACUCUGACGCAGCCAUGCCGCGUGCAGGAAGAAGGCGCUACGCGUUGUAAACUGCUUUUAACCGGGAAGAAACCCUCCGACGUGUCGGAGGUUGACGGUACCGGAGGAAUAAGCACCGGCUAACUUCGUGCCAGCAGCCGCGGUAA
Molecule: ribosomal RNA, 501 nt
Filed under: uncultured bacterium
Lineage: Bacteria
Description: bacterial SSU rRNA
Rfam family: Bacterial small subunit ribosomal RNA
Source: RNAcentral